GACGGGGGAUGCGAGCGUUAUCCGGAAUGAUUGGGCGUAAAGGGUCCGCAGGUGGCCCGGUCAGUCCGCUGUCAAAACCUGGGGCUCAACCCUGGAGAGGCGGCGGAGACCACCGGGCUUGAGUCCGGUAGGGGCAGAGGGAAUUCCCGGUGGAGCGGUGAAAUGCGUAGAUAUCGGGAGGAACACCAGUGGCGAAGGCGGUUACCUGGGCUUGUUCUGACGCUGAGGCACAAAAGCUGGGGG
RNAcentral lists this ribosomal RNA (243 nucleotides) under uncultured prokaryote. RNAcentral's name for it is "partial 16S ribosomal RNA". It matches the Rfam family "Bacterial small subunit ribosomal RNA", at positions 524 to 766 of the family's 1533-position model. The record is from RNAcentral.